This 893-nucleotide ribosomal RNA is filed under the name uncultured bacterium. RNAcentral describes it as "bacterial SSU rRNA". It matches the Rfam family "Bacterial small subunit ribosomal RNA", at positions 28 to 903 of the family's 1533-position model. The record is from RNAcentral.
GACGAACGCUGGCGGCGUGCCUAAUACAUGCAAGUAGAACGCUGACUACUUUAGCUUGCUAGAGUAGAAGGAGUUGCGAACGGGUGAGUAACGCGUAGGUAACCUGCCUACUAGCGGGGGAUAACUAUUGGAAACGAUAGCUAAUACCGCAUAACAGUGUUUAACACAUGUUAGAUGCUUGAAAGAUGCAAAUGCAUCACUAGUAGAUGGACCUGCGUUGUAUUAGCUAGUUGGUGGGGUAACGGCCUACCAAGGCGACGAUACAUAGCCGACCUGAGAGGGUGAUCGGCCACACUGGGACUGAGACACGGCCCAGACUCCUACGGGAGGCAGCAGUAGGGAAUCUUCGGCAAUGGGGGCAACCCUGACCGAGCAACGCCGCGUGAGUGAAGAAGGUUUUCGGAUCGUAAAGCUCUGUUGUAAGAGAAGAACGUGUGUGAGAGUGGAAAGUUCACACAGUGACGGUAACUUACCAGAAAGGGACGGCUAACUACGUGCCAGCAGCCGCGGUAAUACGUAGGUCCCGAGCGUUGUCCGGAUUUAUUGGGCGUAAAGCGAGCGCAGGCGGUUUAAUAAGUCUGAAGUUAAAGGCAGUGGCUUAACCAUUGUUCGCUUUGGAAACUGUUAAACUUGAGUGCAGAAGGGGAGAGUGGAAUUCCAUGUGUAGCGGUGAAAUGCGUAGAUAUAUGGAGGAACACCGGUGGCGAAAGCGGCUCUCUGGUCUGUAACUGACGCUGAGGCUCGAAAGCGUGGGGAGCAAACAGGAUUAGAUACCCUGGUAGUCCACGCCGUAAACGAUGAGUGCUAGGUGUUAGGCCCUUUCCGGGGCUUAGUGCCGCAGCUAACGCAUUAAGCACUCCGCCUGGGGAGUACGACCGCAAGGUUGAAACUCA